Molecule: ribosomal RNA, 247 nt
Filed under: Fusarium sp.
Lineage: Eukaryota; Fungi; Ascomycota; Sordariomycetes; Hypocreales; Nectriaceae
Description: partial large subunit ribosomal RNA
Rfam family: Eukaryotic large subunit ribosomal RNA
Source: RNAcentral
CGUGAAAUUGGUGAAAGGGAAGCGUUUAUGACCAGACUUUGACUUGGUUAAUCAUCUGGGGUUCUCCCCAGUGCACUUUUCCAGUUCAGGCCAGCAUCAGUUUUCCCCGGGGGAUAAAGGCGGCGGGAAUGUGGCUCUCUUCGGGGAGUGUUAUAGCCCGCCGUGUAAUACCCUGGGGGGGACUGAUGUUCGCGCAUCUUCAAGGAUGCUGGCGUAAUGGUCAUCAACGACCCGUCUUGAAACACGG